GGCGAGGCUUGCAGCGUGGUCGGC
Molecule: non-coding RNA, 24 nt
Filed under: Arabidopsis thaliana (thale cress)
Lineage: Eukaryota; Viridiplantae; Streptophyta; Magnoliopsida; Brassicales; Brassicaceae
Source: RNAcentral